AUGCCAACUGCAGUUAAACUCCAGAGGAAGUGCUUGCAGAUACGUGGCUUCCUGAGGACACAACUUUCUGUUUCAUCACUAAUCCUCCAGCAUUGUUGUUUUGGUGGCGCAGGCUUCUUCCUUGAUACAUCUUCACAUCUUUUUUCAGUGCACCUCCAGACUGAAUUUUUCAUUUUCCUGACAAAUAAAAACAACUGGACUAUCUGGAUCUGUGCUGGUGGAAGUUGGCAUAAUGGCAAAACAAACAGUACCAGCAGUUUGCAUCUUAGUGCUUUUAUUCGUCACAGUCUUUACUCAAGUGAUAGUUGGUUGGAACUCCAACGAAGACUGUCCAGGAAUUCCCUUCAUCCCUAUUUAUCUUUGUGGACCCAUCAUUGCCUUCUUUGCAUGGUGUAUGUACAGGUCAUGUAACCUGCUUUGUUUGUCCGUGACCACCCUCUUCUUCAUUUGCUGGUACAUUGCUGGUAAGCUUUAAGGGUUUUACUCAAUUUCUGACCACAGCAGGCAGCUCUUGAAAAAUAACAUGAAGCCUGCACAGAAGAAAAUACCAGAUUAAGCAAGCAAAAAGUAUGACAGAGAAAGAAAACAUAAAGCAAAACUAUAAGCAUAGUUAAUAUAGGAAUUAUUCAAGUAACCAAGUGAUAAGUUCAAUCCUAAACCUAAACCUGACCAGUUUACUCUGGAAAUGGACAUUUUUAACAUCAAGGAGACCUUAAAUUGG
Molecule: long non-coding RNA, 721 nt
Filed under: Oreochromis niloticus (Nile tilapia)
Lineage: Eukaryota; Metazoa; Chordata; Actinopteri; Cichliformes; Cichlidae
Description: lncRNA (ENSONIG00000035390.1)
Source: RNAcentral